Molecule: long non-coding RNA, 1032 nt
Organism: Alligator mississippiensis (American alligator)
Lineage: Eukaryota; Metazoa; Chordata; Crocodylia; Alligatoridae
Exons: 2
Source: RefSeq, a predicted model, not a curated record
AGUGAGCCCAGCUUCAUGGUACUCUUCAAGUUUGAGGUACUUGGAUCAGAUAUAAAUUGAAGGUACAAACCCACCUGUGCGAACUGGUUCCACAAGCUUUCUGACAUGCACUUAGUUUGACACCUUGAAGGCCAAUCUGAAGACAGGUAAUUAAUAUCAGUACCUGGGAGAUGCAAGCACUAAAUCAUUCCCAAUGACACAGUGAUGUAUGACAAGGCAUCAAUCAGUUUGAGCAUAUUUGCCUCGUUAUGGAGGUGGAUAGAUGAGAGAAGAACUGUGACCAAACAUCACCAGGAUCUACUCCUUCCUUCUGGAACUAUUUGUCAUUUCUGAAGUCAAACAUGAAGAUCUCUGGCCUCCUCAAUCAUUUAUGGAUUCUCUGAUGACUUCCUGAUUACCAGAAGACCUCAUAUUGAGGGACUGCUGAAGAUGACAACUUAGUUUGUCACAUCUAGACAAGAAUUAAGGGCCAGAUCCUAGUCCACUAAUUAGGCAUCUAAUGCAGUAACACAUAUUUUUUUAAUACCUCUUCAUCUCAUUCUUAAUUCAGAAGAGGUGAAGAGGGGGAAGACCUAACCACCUUUUGCAUUAAUAGUUUGUUCAGAGUCUCUAGCUGGAUUGUACUUAGAUGUCUAAUAGGUGGAAUAAGGCCUGGUCUUAAUGGGCACCUAAACACGUGCCCAACACUUGCUUCAGUGUGUUCUAAUUGGAGCAAACUCGAUUAAUCAAGUCUGUUGGAGCAUGCUAAUACUCAUCAGUUGCUUUUUUUCAUCAGUUGCUUUAUGUAUCACUAAGGCUUCAUGCCCACCUCUGACUCUGAAGAGGUCAUGAUUUUCUCACUGUUACAUUUCCAAUUUUUCUUCCAGCACAGUAUUCUGACUUAAUCACAUAGUGCAGUGAUACAAUGCAGCUCUUUUGUACAGCAUCUUUUGUAUAAGCUGUAUUCUGAAAUGAUCUGCAGAAUUAAAAUGGCAAGUUUGACUCUAAUGAUAGCAGAAGCAGAAUAAAUUGAGAGGUGGGCAAGAGAAAUGA